RNAcentral lists this transfer RNA (71 nucleotides) under Camelus bactrianus (Bactrian camel). It matches the Rfam family "tRNA". Rfam says of the family: Transfer RNA (tRNA) molecules are approximately 80 nucleotides in length. Their secondary structure includes four short double-helical elements and three loops (D, anti-codon, and T loops). Lineage: Eukaryota; Metazoa; Chordata; Mammalia; Artiodactyla; Camelidae. RNAcentral also lists the same sequence under 2 other names. The record is from Rfam by way of RNAcentral.
AGAGGAUAGCUCAGUGGUAGAGCACGUGCUUAGCAUGUAUGAGGUCCUGGGUUCAAUCCCCGGUACCUCCU